UAUGGCUUGUAAGUUUUGGCAACCAAAGCAAUCUUGUAAACAUACCAGAUUCCUGUCAAAGGACCAAGGCCUCCCUUGCAUUACCUUAUGCUUAUCUUCUCUAUCGUGGAACUCGAUUAAGAACUUAUUCUUCCCUACCUCUUUGAAAGUUACUGUCCCCUCUGUUUUCCAUACCUUGAUCAUUGUAGACUUCAAUGCACCUUUGUUGAUAUCUUUCUCUGAUACAAUGAUUGCUGCAAGACACUUUUUGCUCUUCUCUGUUAAGGCCAAAACAUCCUCUUCUGAUAGAUUAACGGAUAGCUGCUCUUCUUCAGUUAACCGUAGCCCCUCGUAUAAGUUGGAGAGCUCGAUCUCCAUUGUGUCUAGACAGCCUACAAACACUCGUGGCUCUACAGAAGGAAGAAAGUAGAGACAAACCUCAAUGCUCUACAAGAGACAAAGAGACGAUACCCCACCUUUCCUAGAGAGAGAGGGGACUCAUGUAAAGUGGCGCCUAAAACCUACGUCCCUUUAUACGAACAGUAUUAUUGUCAUCUUUGACUUAUUUUGCACUACUCUUAUAUAGUAGUGGAGGAAAUUCACAAAACUGCUACGUACAAUCGUAGCAUAUAGUCGCCGCGGAGUCGCCACAUCAUCAGUUGAUUUAAAAAAUAAAUAAAACAAAAACGAAGCCAAAAACUGCCCAGAGCUAAUUCCCACUUCUUGUUCCACUGCUAUGCAACCUCAUCUUCGUGCUCACAGAAGGUUCGUGGCUUCGUGAAUCGUUGUGCUCUGGCAGUGGUCUUCGAUCUCACAGAAAUUUUGUGGUGCUUUGGUCUAAAGCUUGCGGUUGUCUUCGAUCUCUCAGAAGCUUAGGUUGUGGCGUCAUGGUGGUCUGGUCUGAAGCUUGGGUCUUCGUGCUCACAGAAGCUUCGUUGCAUUGUCUUCUUCUCGAGGUUGUGUUCGGCUUCAUGGUGUCGUCUUCUACUCAAGCUCGUGCUCUGCACCGAGAUCUUCAAGUCUUGAAGUGGAUCUCUGCGGGUAUUUUUCUGGGUCUCUAGGAUCUUCGUGUGGGUCUUCAAGAGGCCGUAAGAUAUUCGUCAAGGUCGUCUUCUUGGUGGAUCUCAACGUUAUUACGAACUUUUUGAAAGUACUGAUUGCUCGUGAUAGAAAGGCUGCUACUCUUUUGCUUCAGAGGCUGCUCUUCUACUUCCCUCCAAUUUCAGCUAUGGAUUUGAACAGAUGUAAUUUGAGUUGGAUGGAUCACAGUCGGUACAGAAUGGGUUGGAUGGAACACAAUCAGCGCAAUGAGAACCAAUACAAUCAGUCAGCAAUUAUAGCUUUAAUGGACAAGGCAGGACAUUUUGGAAAAAAUGUUAAGAGUCCUGUUAUUUUGUAUGUUCAUCUUGGAACAAUUGUAAAGCACUUGACGUGCAAAUUCUAGUGAAGAUUUGAUGAGACUAUCAUUAUUUGUUUUAGACUUGAUUUCUGGAGAAUUGAGUGCUGGAGACUUUAUUUUUGGAGAUUUCUGGAGAGUUGAUUCAUUUCUUUUAAUGAAAAUUGUAAAGCACUUGACGUCCAAGUUUAUGUAUGUUUUCUGGACAAGCAUAAUGUGAUGCACUAUUAUUGGUGAUGCA
Molecule: long non-coding RNA, 1616 nt
Organism: Carya illinoinensis
Lineage: Eukaryota; Viridiplantae; Streptophyta; Magnoliopsida; Fagales; Juglandaceae
Exons: 3
Source: RefSeq, a predicted model, not a curated record